GCUCCCCGCUGAGCAGGGAUUCCCAACUCGGGACUUGAUGUCAGGACCCUGGAUCAUGACCUGAGCUGAAGUCAGAUGCUCAGCCCACUGAGACACCCAGGUGCCCCUGCCCUUUGGAUUUUUGAGGUAGUGUGCUGUCUUAGUGCCUGGACAUAACAGAUUUUAAUUCCCAUUCCUGAAUUGGUUUCUGUUUAUUAAAAUGGAAAUAGGUUCAUACUCCAGCCUAGAAGUGUUCGUGUUAAUAGGAAAAUGCAACAGAUCUGUCCUGCAGGAUGCAACAGAGCCGCAGUCUGUGCCUAGGGAGCGUGACUGGGCACAGGGGCCCAUGUGUGCUGCUGAGUGCCCUGCCUAUCACCUCUUCUCUUCUGGUGUUCUUUUCCUUAGGUGGACUGGCCCGAAGUCAGGAACAAAUGAAAAAUGCCUCUCCUGGUUCCACUACUCAACAGCAUCCCAUGUGAAGGCGUUCGUGGAGCACGUUGGCGUGUAUCAGUAGCAGUGUUCCAGCUAGGACAGCAUCCCCGUGCAGGACUGUCACUGGGGUUCAGUUUUGUAAAGCAGCAUGUGAGAACCACGAGCCAAGAGUUAGGUGGAGAGAACACUACAAGAGCAAGAAGGAGGGGACAGAGGCAAACCUUAGCCAUUGUUGGAGCUUGUCAUCCUUCAUCCAGACCUGAAGCCUGUGGUUUUGUGGGGCCAGGCUUAGAAGCAGAGCAGACUGAGUGUAGGACCUUGUAUAUUUCUGUGACUUUUUCUUACUCUUAGAGUUUUCUCACUCAGUUUGACAGGUUUUUUUGUUUUUGUUUUUAGCUAUUUGCCUUUAUUGCUUUAAUAUCCAAACCCUUCAACUUAGUUUUUGAAGAAGCAACCUUUUUUUAGGCUUGUUUUAUUAGUUUUCAUAAUGUUAAAUUACAUAAUUAAAACAGCAAGUACAACUUGCAUAAAAAGGUUUGGGAUCAGAUACAACUUUCUGAUGUAGAUGUGGGCACGUGUACCCGGAUUCCACUGCCCCCUCAUCUAUAAGAAUUGGCCGUGCAGGUGGUCACACGACUGGCAGAGAUGGGGCCAUGGUGGACUGUGAAUCCCUCACCUACAUUCCUGGGGACCAGGGAGUCCAGCACCAUGUUGUGGCUUUGAGUUCUGUGACUCCCUCUCCCCUGCCUUUUUGGAACCGUGCUCACUGGUCUGCUGGUACUGGCAAAACGCUUCUUGCCCAAGCCACUGCAGGGGAGGCCAGCGUGCCUUUCAUCACCGUGAAUGGGUCAGAGUUCCUGGAACUGUUUGUCGGCGUUGGGCAGCAAGGGUUCAUGACAUGUUUGCGGUGGCUCGAAAAAAAUGCUCCUUGUAUCUUAUUCAUUGAUGAGAUUGAUGCAGUUGUUAGGAACCGAGGCUGAGGGCACUUCGGAGGCUGGAGCGAGCAGGAGAACACCCUGAACCAGACGCUUGUGGAGAUGGGUGGCACCGCUGACGUCAGAGGCAUGUCCUCCAUCUCCACAGUCCACCUGCGUCCACAGAAGCUGGACAAGAGCCUCUGUAAGGAUGCCCUGGCAAGAAAGCUUGUGGUGCUCACUUUGGGCUUCUCAGGUCAGGUGCUGGCGUUUCUCGUGUCUGCAAGGAAGCAGUGCUGUUGCCACCCACCACCUGGGUCCCUGUGUUCCGGAGAUGGGCUUUGAGCCGGCCAUUGGGGGUCAUCGGAGAUUGUGCAGUGGGGAUGAGCGACAAGUUGGACAGGUGUCCUUUGACUUCCCCCCACAAGGCGAGAUGCCGGUCGAGAAGCCGUACGGUGAGGCCACUGCCCAGCUCAUCAGGGUGCGGGACCUCAUCAGCUCUGCCUGUGAGGGGGCCUGGCACUGCUGACCCGGUGCCGAGAGCAGCUGGGCAGGUGGGCAGGCCGCUGCUGGGGAAGGAGGUGCUGGCAGAGGAGGAUGUGAUGGAGCUGCUGGGGCCUGACCCCUUGCGGAGAAGUCCACACACGAGGAGCCUGCAGGAGGACGCGUCCCUUCUUAAGGGGCUGAAGGGCUGGAACCAGGGGCAGGAGGAGGGGACCUCAAAGCGCCGCCUGCAGAAGAGCCCAGCUUAGCGACCUUGGCUUUGAAAGCUGCUGCCAAAAUCAUGGGAAAACAAAUUAAAACAUGAUUAACAGCAAA
Molecule: RNA transcript, 2144 nt
Organism: Ailuropoda melanoleuca (giant panda)
Lineage: Eukaryota; Metazoa; Chordata; Mammalia; Carnivora; Ursidae
Gene name: AFG3-like protein 1
Exons: 9
Source: RefSeq, a predicted model, not a curated record